CUUGACCCAAAUUACGUGCCAGCAGUCGCGGUAAUACGUAGAAGACUAGUGUUAUUCAUGUUUAAUCGGUUUAAAGGGUACCUAGACGGUAAAUCAAGCCUAAAAUUAAAUGAAAGGACUAAUUUACUAGAGUUACUUAUGAGGGGGUAUUAAAGUACUGCUGGUGUAGAGAUGAAAUUCUGUCAUACCUCUUUUCAAUAGAAAAACAAUGGCACAGGUAUAGGCGAAAGCAUCCCCUUAUGUGAUAACUGACGUUGAGGGACGAAGGCUUUGUGUAGCGAACAGGAUUAGAUACCCCAGUAGUCAAAGCAGAAAAUGAUGAAUGUCAUAGAUUAGAUAAAUAAGUUUAUUCUAUAAAUGAAAGUGUAAGCAUUCCACCUCAAGAGUAAUUUGGCAACAUUGGAACUGAAAUCAUUAGACCGUUUCUGAAACCAGUAGUGAAGUAUGUUGUUUAAUUUGAUGAUCCGCAAAAAACCUUACCACAAUUUGAAUAUUUAUAUUUUUUAUUGUUUUCUUUUUAAUUUUCUUCUGAUUUGAUUUUUCUAAAGAAAAAAAGAAAAAGAGGCGAUAUGAUAUAUUACAAGCUUGCACGGCCGUCUUCAGUUAAUGUCGCGAGACUUGGGNNAGUUCC
RNAcentral lists this ribosomal RNA (631 nucleotides) under Hypogymnia imshaugii. RNAcentral describes it as "SSU rRNA". It matches the Rfam family "Bacterial small subunit ribosomal RNA", at positions 492 to 1088 of the family's 1533-position model. Lineage: Eukaryota; Fungi; Ascomycota; Lecanoromycetes; Lecanorales; Parmeliaceae. The record is from RNAcentral.